This 349-nucleotide unclassified non-coding RNA is filed under the name soil metagenome. Its description in RNAcentral is "partial contains 5.8S ribosomal RNA, internal transcribed spacer 2, and large subunit ribosomal RNA". The stretch from base 1 to 120 matches the Rfam family "5.8S ribosomal RNA", at positions 35 to 154 of the family's 154-position model. The record is from RNAcentral.
GAUGAAGAACGUAGCGAAAUGCGAUACGUAAUGUGAAUUGCAGAAUUCAGUGAAUCAUCGAGUCUUUGAACGCACAUUGCGCCCCCUGGUAUUCCGGGGGGCAUGCCUGUCCGAGCGUCAUUGCUGCCCUCAAGCACGGCUUGUGUGUUGGGCCCCCGCCCCCCGGUUCCCGGGGGGCGGGCCCGAAAGGCAGCGGCGGCACCGCGUCCGGUCCUCGAGCGUAUGGGGCUUCGUCACCCGCUCCGUAGGCCCGGCCGGCGCCCGCCGGCGACCCCAAUCAAUCUUUCCAGGUUGACCUCGGAUCAGGUAGGGAUACCCGCUGAACUUAAGCAUAUCAAUAAGCGGAGGA